This 253-nucleotide ribosomal RNA is filed under the name uncultured bacterium. Its description in RNAcentral is "partial 16S ribosomal RNA". It matches the Rfam family "Bacterial small subunit ribosomal RNA", at positions 524 to 776 of the family's 1533-position model. The record is from RNAcentral.
UACGUAGGGACCAAGCGUUGUUCGGAUUUACUGGGCGUAAAGGGUGCGUAGGCGGCAAUUCAAGUCAGCUGUGAAAUCUCCGGGCUUAACUCGGAACGGUCAGCUGAUACUGCUUUGCUAGAGUGCAGAAGGGGCAAUCGGAAUUCUUGGUGUAGCGGUGAAAUGCGUAGAUAUCAAGAGGAACACCUGAGGUGAAGACGGGUUGCUGGGCUGACACUGACGCUGAGGCGCGAAAGCUAGGGUAGCAAACGGG